AAGUCGUAACAAGGUUUCCGUAGGUGAACCUGCGGAAGGAUCAUUAAAAUAAUAAUGAAUGUCGGGAGGGAGGGCGCUUCGGUGCUUUUCCCCCCGUGUAUUCAACCAAACCCGCUCGUGUAUUUGGAUCAACCAAAAAAAUCAAACAAAAUUUUCUAACGAUAAUAAUUAAACAAACUUUCAACAACGGAUCUCUUGGCUCUC
Molecule: unclassified non-coding RNA, 204 nt
Filed under: Paraglomus sp.
Lineage: Eukaryota; Fungi; Glomeromycota; Glomeromycetes; Paraglomerales; Paraglomeraceae
Description: partial internal transcribed spacer region
Rfam family: Eukaryotic small subunit ribosomal RNA (bases 1-46)
Source: RNAcentral